This 85-nucleotide transfer RNA is filed under the name Leucothrix pacifica. RNAcentral describes it as "tRNA-Leu". It matches the Rfam family "tRNA". From Rfam's summary of the family: Transfer RNA (tRNA) molecules are approximately 80 nucleotides in length. Their secondary structure includes four short double-helical elements and three loops (D, anti-codon, and T loops). The record is from RNAcentral. Lineage: Bacteria; Pseudomonadati; Pseudomonadota; Gammaproteobacteria; Thiotrichales; Thiotrichaceae.
GCGAGAGUGGCGGAAUUGGUAGACGCGCUGGUUUUAGGUACCAGUGUCCUAGGGCGUGAGAGUUCGAGUCUCUCCUCUCGCACCA